Non-coding RNA from Python bivittatus (Burmese python), 1995 nucleotides. NCBI's taxonomy places the organism in Eukaryota, Metazoa, Chordata, Lepidosauria, Squamata, Pythonidae. The record is from RefSeq and is a predicted model, not a curated record.
AACAAAAUCACAAUCAGCAGCAGGAUUAAUUCUACAUCAGUUCAAUUCAGUCAUUGAUAAACAGCAAUAAAUUAUAUUGGUUGUGUUUGCAUGCCACAUCCAACUGAACUGUAGAUGACUAGUUUGUGGUUCACCGUAUUAUACAAACCUAGCCUGUAUUGCUAUAUACAGUAUAAGUCCAUGCAAUAGAGUUUACUUCUAGAUAGAUGUGCUAUCAAAUGAUUUUUAUUUUAAGAAUGGAAAAGUCAGUUUAAAGUUAGGGCUUCAUAAUAAACACGGAAUAGAUAAGGUUACAGAGCUAGACUAUUUAUGCUGUUCAGUAUAAAUGAGGUGACAACGUUGGCUCACCUUAGAAGUUAAAUAGUGUUAGCUCUGGUUGGUACUUGGAUGAAGCUCUGGGAAUUUCAGAGCUGUUGGUUAGACUAGGAAGUUGGGGGGGGAAAAACUUGAAAGAAGAUAAUGGCAAACGACUUCUAUAAUGGGGCCAAGAAAAGUGCAUGAAUGAAGUCUUUAGGAGCUGAGCUCAACUCAAGGAUAUCAUUACCGUUUUAAAGAUACCACAGAAGUACAGAUACCAUUGUGGAGAAUAUAGUUAGCUCAGGGUUGGAGCGUCAGGUUGUAAGAGUUCUCUGAUCUUGGUUUUCUUUUUUCAGAUGUUUCAUUGCCUGCCUUGGUAAUAUUUUCAGUACUAUGAUCUUGGAGAAGUGCGGUCUGCUAGAGUUGUGGAAUAUACCUGUCCUACUAGCCUUGUAUGUGAUUGGAGAGGUGCUUCAGGUCUUUAUUGAUGCUCCUGGGGAAUAUGGACCAGUGGACUGGCACAGUCUAAGGCAUUUUUGUAUGAUCCUAAAGGGCAGAUGCUGGAAACAAAUCUAAGCGCAAUGACAAAGAAAGGAAGGAUCUAUUCAGAUAUAACACUGCUGGCAAUUUGCAACAUGAACCAUGGAUUAUAUCCAGAUAUAGCUGGUUAGUAAACACACAAAAAGAAAGCUCUGUAAGCACACACCACCUGCUAAUUCUGCCUCAACAAAUAGGGCUGGGACUGCAGCUGCUCAAGAGGUAGAGCAUGUUAGCUCUCACUAUAGGAAAGAAUUGUUAUUGUGUUUGUCCAUACAAUCCUUCAGGAAGGACUUGGUUUUAUUCCCAUUUUACCAAUGAGGAACUGAGCCUGGACUGCCUUGUCAAUACAUGCAGUCUGUUCAGAAAAAUGAUGUAUUUACUUUUGAUGGCAGCAAGCUACCUGCUGGUAGUAGACACUAGGAUUAAAUGUCAGGAAGGAUGGGUAGUCAAUCAGUCAUCCUGGUUCAACUCGGCAGAGGAAACCUUUGAUCAAGGAGAGAAGAUGCAGGAAGAAAUGAAUGCAGUGAAACUGGUACUAGCACAAAAGUCUGAAAACAGUGUAAUAAAGUUUAAAAUGGUAUAGCUUUGGAACAAUCUAUAGAUCGAUCAGACAGAUAUACAGUAGGUAGGAAGGAGAGCAAAACACGUUGGAUUUCUAAGCUUCUUAAAAAUAUUUUAUUUUUUCAAAUAAUCUGUAUUUUAAAUUCUGCAAGGAAAUGGACUGGUGGUCAGUGAAAUUCUUUAAGCAUGGGAAUAAUUGUUUAAUUAUUUUCAAAGGCAGCUCAGAGGAGUGUGUGUUGCCUACUCCAUGGGACAUAACUAAUGUACUGUAUCUGCCACCAUGUAUUGUAUUUCCAUGUUUGCUAGGCUCAACACAGAAGUGGUAAUAUGAGUUUGGAAGCAAAAACCAGCAGACAGACCCUCCCUCAAACCAUUUCCUUAAUCACCUUGAGAUUCAACUUGCCUUGAAUGAGAUCUUAUCUAAAACAACGGCAUCACCAGGUCUUUUCUCUGACUGAUUUUCCUACUUGCCAGUACAAUUUACAAAUGACAGUGUCUUUUGUAAACCUUUAAAUAACCUAUGAAGAAUUUCUAAUGUAUGAGUUGUGUAGUGCCUUUGUUCCAAAGGAUACAUUGCAGAACAAACAUAUUUUUUGA